UUAAAUGGGCCAACAGGCCCAAUUCGGUAAAAACGUUCGGUAAGUGUUUCUGUUAAUACGUUAGUAACCGUAAUGAGCAUGAAACCCUAAAAAGACUGAUAAAAUUACUCAAAUACCUCUGUAAGGUAGAAUUACCGUAACACCCCUAAAGGGGGUAAGUUUACGAUUAUGCCCCUCGAGGGUAAAUAAUUGUUCUUAC
RNAcentral lists this long non-coding RNA (199 nucleotides) under Gossypium barbadense (sea-island cotton). RNAcentral describes it as "long non-coding RNA (GBAR_LNC005170)". The record is from RNAcentral. Lineage: Eukaryota; Viridiplantae; Streptophyta; Magnoliopsida; Malvales; Malvaceae.